GCACCGCACCGUUCCGCGCGGGGCAGAGCGGAGCCGCAACCCCACGCGCCGCCCAGGACCCACUCGCCAUCGCCGCCUCCGCAGCACCCAUGGGGACCAGGAGACUUUAAAGGAGUUUGGGGUUUCGGGAGCAGGGAAAUCACGGAUCCCCGCUCCUGGCCCUCGCUUCGCCGCGUCAUUGAUGGGCAACCAACUGGACCGCAUCACCCACCUCAACUACAGCGAGUUGCCCACAGGGGACCCGUCGGGGAUCGAGAAGGACGAGCUGCGGGUCGGGGUCGCCUACUUCUUCUCGGAUGAGGAGGAGGACCUGGACGAACGCGGCCAGCCCGACAAGUUUGGCGUGAAGGCCCCUCCGGGCUGCACUCCCUGCCCGGAGAGCCCCAGCCGCCACCACCACCACCUGCUGCACCAGCUGGUCCUCAACGAAACUCAGUUCUCCGCCUUCCGGGGCCAGGAAUGCAUCUUCUCCAAAGUGAGCGGCGGCCCUCAGGGCGCCGACCUGAGCGUCUACGCUGUCACAGCGCUGCCCGCGCUCUGCGAGCCCGGCGACCUGCUGGAGCUGCUGUGGCUGCAGCCGGCGCCGGAGCCGCCCGCCCCGCACUGGGCCGUCUACGUGGGUGGCGGGCAGAUCAUCCACCUGCACCAAGGCGAGAUCCGCCAGGACAGCCUGUACGAGGCGGGCGCGGCCAACGUGGGCCGGGUGGUGAAUAGCUGGUACCGCUACCGCCCGCUGGUGGCCGAGCUGGUGGUGCAGAACGCCUGCGGCCACCUGGGCCUCAAGAGCGAGGAGAUCUGCUGGACGAACUCGGAGAGCUUCGCCGCCUGGUGCCGCUUUGGCAAGCGGGAGUUCAAGGCGGGAGGGGAGGUGCCGGCCGGCACGCAGCCCCAGCAGCAGUACUAUCUCAAGGUGCACCUGGGCGAGAACAAGGUGCACACGGCCAGGUUUCACAGCCUGGAAGACCUCAUCCGCGAGAAGCGCCGCAUCGACGCCUGCGGUCGCCUGCGAGUGCUCCAGGAGCUCGCCGACUUCGUGGACGACAAGGAGUAGCCUUGUGGGGGGCCUCCCGCUCCUCUCGUCUCCCCGCGCCCCGCUCCCUUCCCCGCACCCGGGCCUCGCGGCCGGCGAUCCACAACCCCCGCCCCUUCGAGCGCCCUCCUGCGGCGGCCAGUGCCCAGGCUGCACCCUCGCACCCCUCCGGCAAGUGGCAGGAAGUCUCAGGAACUGGCCCCGGGACCAAAGGGCAGCUGUGCGCGCCUGGCGGAGCCCCCCGGUGUGGUGACGGUGUUGGGAAGCCCAGCGUGCGCUUUCCCCUUGAGCUGUAACGGGGGAAGGAGAAAGGGCUGAGGGGAGCAGGGUCGUGGCUUUUCCCGCGGGUCACUAGUCCGUAACUGUCACCCGACCUACUGUAAAGGGAACCAUCACCGCCCCCAAACGCGCACACACAGACCAGUCGGAGGACAUCCAACAAUGAAGGAAAGAAAAUUCAACAUAAGGGCUGCUCCUCAGAAGACUGACCUUGAGAUAUGGGCAAAUCAGCCAAGUUACCGUAGGCUGGGCUGCUUGGUGUUCUCUUUUCAGAGAAGCUGGAGGAAAUGGUUGAGGAAAAGAGCAAUUUACAAUGUAGGGGUUAAUCAUCUGAAAUCAUUAAAAUCAUCCAUUAAGGAAAUAAAGAAUGUGGUUCUUAGAGUGGAUAGUUAAAUAUGUUUUGAAAAUCUUUCUUGUUGAACCAACAGAAAAUGUCUCUAAUGGUAAAAACCAAGAAGGAGAGAGGUGGAGAAGAAGUGUAAGGGUUAGAAAGGAAACAAAUAAUUAUAAAGGAUUAGAGAUGCAGAAUAUAUCAACAUUCUGGUAUUUACAAAAUUGAUCAACCUUAAACAUAGUAAAUUCUUUAAGGACAUAGGUGUCUUUUCUCAUACUUCCUGUCUGCUGUCACUGCCAUAAGAGGAAAAGACAGAGAGGCUCCUGCACUCAGAAUUGGUUACUGAUGCAACAUGAAGUAUGUGGUGGGUUCUCUUUGGCUGCCUGGGUGAGAAGAACAAAGUCUCUGCCCUCAUGGAGCUCACAUUGGGGAGACAAACAAUAAGUGAAUAAACAAACAUAUACAAUAUGAUGCCAAAUGCCCAUAAGUGCAAGAAACAAUAAUAAAGCAUGAAAAAGGUACUGUGAGUGACAGGGCAUGGGAAAUGUGCUAUUUUCGGAUGAAUGGUGGGGGCAUGCCUCUCUGACAAAUUGAUAUUUAAACAGAGUUUUGAAUAAAGUGACAGAGAGGGUAUCUAGAGGAAGACCUUUCCAAAUUGAGGGAACAGCAACUGCAGAGGCCCUGAGGAUGGAUAGAACUAGAUUCUUUCAAGGGUGGAUGACAGACAUGUCAUGGGAAGGCUGCCACUCUCCCCCGUUCUGCCGAGGAAAGACAGACAACACAGGUUUGGACCCUGCACUUCUCACUGGGCUAGUACAGCCUCAGAAUCCUUCUGAACCCAAUACUCUGAUAAAUUAGUGAUAGGUAAGAGUAAGUGCAGGGAUCAAAGCCAUUUGUUAUCACUGCCUUAGAGUUUAGUCUUCUAAAUUUUAGCCCAUAAUGCUGUCUUCAGCUCCAAUGAUUUUCGUGUCACUGAUAUUGCCUCCCACUGUGUGGGGUUGGAAGAAGCAUAAUGGCCAGGAAAACCUCAUUGCCAAGGAUACCUUUACUAAUAUUUACUACUAAAGUGAAAAUAUUGAGAAGCCACGCUACCGACGGCCCACUCUGCUCUGCUCACUAGGCCCACUGGCCCGCGCCCAUCAUGGCCACCAUUCAGCAACUGGUAGGAAGAUGGUGCUUAGUGGAAAGCAAAGGCUUUGACAAAUACAUGAAGCAAGUAGAAGUGGGAAUGGCCAAACCAGAUUGUAUCAUCUCUCUUUUUUUUUUAAAGAUUUUAUUUAUUUAUUUGAGAGAGAGAAUGAGAUAGAGAGCAUGAGAGGGGGGAGGGUCAGACGGAGAAGCAGACUCCCUGCUGAGCAGGGAGCCCGAUGCGGGACUCGAUUCCGGGACUCCAGGAUCAUGACCUGAGCCGAAGGCAGUCGCCUAACCAACUGAGCCACCCAGGCGCCCUGUAUCAUCUCUUCUGACGGCAAAAACCUCACCAUAAAAACUGAGAGCACUUUGAAAAUAACACAGUUUUCAUGUAACCUGGGAGAGGAGUUUGAAGAAACUACAGCUGAUGGCAGAAAAACUCAGACUGUCUGAAGCUUCACAGACAGCGCAUUGGUUCAACAUCAGGAAUGGGAUGGGAAGGAAAGCACAAUCACAAGAAAAUUGGAAAAUGGGAAAUUAGUGGUGGAAUGCAUCAUGAAUAAUGUCACCUGUACUCAGGUCUAUGAAAAAGUAGAGUAAAAAUUCCAUCGUUAUUGUGGACAGGAAUUAGCUGUGAGGAUGAACAAGCUCAGUUCAAUGAGCAAAUCUCCAUACUGCUUUUUUUUUCAUUACUGUGUUCAAUUAUCUUUAUCACAAACAUUUUACAUGCAUCUAUUUCAAAGUGUUGAUUUAAUUAGGAUCAUCCCUUUGGUUAGUAAAUAAAUUUGUGCUAAAAAAAAUAAAA
Molecule: RNA transcript, 3579 nt
Organism: Mirounga angustirostris (Northern elephant seal)
Lineage: Eukaryota; Metazoa; Chordata; Mammalia; Carnivora; Phocidae
Gene: LRATD1
Gene name: LRAT domain containing 1
Exons: 3
Source: RefSeq, a predicted model, not a curated record